UGGCUCAACUGGUAGAGCAUGGCAUUAACAUUGCCAGGGUUAUUGGAUUCGAUUCCCACUGAGACCACCCA
Molecule: non-coding RNA, 71 nt
Organism: Merluccius polli (Benguela hake)
Lineage: Eukaryota; Metazoa; Chordata; Actinopteri; Gadiformes; Merlucciidae
Source: the annotation of a GenBank genome assembly